Molecule: long non-coding RNA, 258 nt
Filed under: Nicotiana benthamiana
Lineage: Eukaryota; Viridiplantae; Streptophyta; Magnoliopsida; Solanales; Solanaceae
Description: long non-coding RNA (NBEN_LNC007259)
Source: RNAcentral
CAAGAUUUCCCUUUUCACACAAUUGGCUUAUGCUCAAGAGAUUAUGCUUUAAUCCUUUAUCAAGUAAUAUAUGCUUAAUAGAGUAAUUUUCAUCCUUACCGACCGAGCCGAUGCCGAUGAUCUCUCCUUUAUUGCUAUCACCGAAGAUAACACUUCCUUCUUCUUUGUGCUCUAAUUGAAGGAAUUUGGAUUCAUCUCCCGUCAUAUGCUUGGAGCAUCCACUAUCAAGGUACCAUAGUACACUUGAUCCCUUCNNNN